RNAcentral lists this ribosomal RNA (253 nucleotides) under uncultured bacterium. RNAcentral describes it as "partial 16S ribosomal RNA". It matches the Rfam family "Bacterial small subunit ribosomal RNA", at positions 524 to 776 of the family's 1533-position model. The record is from RNAcentral.
UACAGAGGGUGCAAGCGUUGCUCGGAUUUACUGGGCGUAAAGCGUACGCAGACGGCGAGAAAGGUCGGAUGUGAAAGCCCCGGGCUCAACCCGGGAACUGCAUCCGAAACCAUCUCGCUAGAGUAUGGGAGAGGGAAGCGGAAUUCCUGGUGUAGAGGUGAAAUUCGUAGAUAUCAGGAGGAACAUCUGCGGCGAAGGCGGCUUCCUGGCCCAUUACUGACGUUCAGGUACGAAAGCGUGGGUAGCAAACAGG